This 468-nucleotide ribosomal RNA is filed under the name uncultured bacterium. RNAcentral's name for it is "partial 16S ribosomal RNA". It matches the Rfam family "Bacterial small subunit ribosomal RNA", at positions 28 to 507 of the family's 1533-position model. The record is from RNAcentral.
GACGAACGCUGGCGGCGUGCUUAACACAUGCAAGUCGAACGGCAAGGCCCUGCUUUUGUGGGGUGCUCGAGUGGCGAACGGGUGAGUAACACGUGAGUAACCUGCCCUUGACUUUGGGAUAACUUCAGGAAACUGGGGCUAAUACCGGAUAGGAGCUCCUGCUGCAUGGUGGGGGUUGGAAAGUUUCGGCGGUUGGGGAUGGAUUCGCGGCUUAUCAGCUUGUUGGUGGGGUAGUGGCUUACCAAGGCUUUGACGGGUAGCCGGCCUGAGAGGGUGACCGGCCACAUUGGGACUGAGAGACGGCGCAGACUCCUACGGGAGGCAGCAGUGGGGAAUAUUGCACAAUGGGCGGAAGCCUGAUGCAGCAACGCCGCGUGCGGGAUGACGGCCUUCGGGUUGUAAACCGCUUUCGCCUGUGACGAAGCGUGAGUGACGGUAAUGGGUAAAGAAGCACCGGCUAACUACGUG